This 160-nucleotide ribosomal RNA is filed under the name Amanita preissii. RNAcentral describes it as "5.8S ribosomal RNA". It matches the Rfam family "5.8S ribosomal RNA". From Rfam's summary of the family: 5.8S ribosomal RNA (5.8S rRNA) is a component of the large subunit of the eukaryotic ribosome. It is transcribed by RNA polymerase I as part of the 45S precursor that also contains 18S and 28S rRNA. Lineage: Eukaryota; Fungi; Basidiomycota; Agaricomycetes; Agaricales; Amanitaceae. The record is from RNAcentral.
AUAGCUUUCAACAAUGGAUCUCUUGGCUCUCGCAUCGAUGAAGAACGUAGCGAAAUGCGAUAAGUAAUGUGAAUUGCAGAAUUCAGUGAAUCAUCGAAUCUUUGAACGCACUUUGCGCUCCUUGGUAUUCCGAGGAGCAUGCCUGUUUGAGUGUCGUUAA